This 700-nucleotide long non-coding RNA is filed under the name Gossypium barbadense (sea-island cotton). Its description in RNAcentral is "long non-coding RNA (GBAR_LNC011250)". The record is from RNAcentral. Lineage: Eukaryota; Viridiplantae; Streptophyta; Magnoliopsida; Malvales; Malvaceae.
UUAAUUCUUGCUGAAAUUGAUCGAAAUAUCGAGGAGGAAACUACUUCAGGGAUGAUGAUGAGAGCAUGGAGGAGUCUGAGGAUGAAUCCUUGCAAAAUAUCGUUUAGCUUGCUUCAAUUUCCAAGUAUGGUUUUCUUUGCAGGAUGAAUCCUUGCACAGUGCUGAUGUGGGUAACAACAACAACCGCCAGCUCUAGUGGUGGUGGCAGUUACUACUACUCUCCAACCACCACCAGCUCAAUCCGGGGGUAACAACAACAACAACUAUACUCCCCCGCCGCCGGGUGGUCUCAUUGGCGGCAUGUAUUACCCUCCACCAACGUACAAAAACUACCCAACACCGCCACCUCCGAACCCCAUUGUUCCUUACUUCCCAUUUUAUCACCACACUCCUCCCCCUCCUUCAAGUUCUGAAAAGCUGUUAGCUUGUCUGGUUUCAACCCUUGUUUCGUUGUUCGGUUGUUUCCUUUAUGUCUUUUGAGUUUUUGACAUUAAAAGCUUAAAAGAGGGUGAAAAAAUAAGGUGGCAAAUUAGCAGAUCUGGAGAAAACUUCUACUGCUAAGAGGAAGAAAAUUAAGGGAGCUACUUCAAUGCUUUCAUGAUGAAAUGGAACUGAGAAUCUAAAGAUAUAUGGAGUAAUCUUUCUCUUUGUUCUCAUGUUCUCAUGUUCUCUUUUUUUUUUUUUUUUUUUUUUUUUUUUU